AAGUGGCAUUGUGUAAUCCAAAAGAAGCAAAUGAUCUCCCUUAUUCCAAAAGAAAGUUCAUGUAUUUUAAGAAUCAGAGAAAACUAAAUUAUAAGAGGAUACUGGAAAUGGCAUUGUGUAAACCAAAAGAAGCCAAUUAUCUCCCUUAUACAAAUGGGAAAUUAAAAAAAAACCACAUACAUUUUCAGCAUCAGCAAAACAGUAAGCUAUCAGUAGACAUUGGAAUUAACUGUUUCGAACAGGAAACAGCUGACUAUCUCUUUCAUUUCAAAGACAAAAACUAC
RNAcentral lists this long non-coding RNA (284 nucleotides) under Mytilus galloprovincialis (Mediterranean mussel). Lineage: Eukaryota; Metazoa; Mollusca; Bivalvia; Mytilida; Mytilidae. The record is from RNAcentral.